RNAcentral lists this ribosomal RNA (570 nucleotides) under uncultured Bacteroidota bacterium. RNAcentral describes it as "bacterial SSU rRNA". It matches the Rfam family "Bacterial small subunit ribosomal RNA", at positions 824 to 1397 of the family's 1533-position model. Lineage: Bacteria; Pseudomonadati; Bacteroidota. The record is from RNAcentral.
UGGCGAUACACAGUCAGUGGCUUAGCGAAAGCGUUAAGUUAUCCACCUGGGGAGUACGACCGCAAGGUUGAAACUCAAAGGAAUUGACGGGGGCCCGCACAAGCGGAGGAACAUGUGGUUUAAUUCGAUGAUACGCGAGGAACCUUACCUAGACUUGAACGUAUUUGGACAGAUCCAGAGAUGGAUUCUUCUUUCGGGACCAUUUACGAGGUGCUGCAUGGUUGUCGUCAGCUCGUGCCGUGAGGUGUCGGGUUAAGUCCCAUAACGAGCGCAACCCUUGCCAAUAGUUGCCAGCGAGUAAUGUCGGGGACUCUAUUGGGACUGCCGGUGUAAACCGUGAGGAAGGUGGGGAUGACGUCAAAUCAGCACGGCCCUUACGUCUAGGGCGACACACGUGUUACAAUGGCCAGUACAGAGGGUCGCUACUAAGUGAUUAGAUGCUAAUCUCAAAAACUGGUCUCAGUUCGGAUUGGAGGCUGAAACUCGCCUCCAUGAAGCUGGAUUCGCUAGUAAUCGCAUAUCAGCCAUGAUGCGGUGAAUACGUUCCCGGGCCUUGUACACACCGCCCGU